GAGCAAGAAUGGUGCAGUGGUUUGAGCACUGGACUAUGACCCUGGAGAUCAGGGUUUGAAUCCCUGCUUGGCCA
This 74-nucleotide transfer RNA is filed under the name Phrynosoma platyrhinos (Desert horned lizard). Its description in RNAcentral is "tRNA-OTHER". The record is from RNAcentral. Lineage: Eukaryota; Metazoa; Chordata; Lepidosauria; Squamata; Phrynosomatidae.